UAACCUGCCCAUCAGAGGGGGAUAACAUUCGGAAACGGAUGCUAAAACCGCAUAGGUUCUACAGUCGCAUGACUGAAGAAGGAAAAGAGGCUUCGGCUUCUGCUGAUGGAUGGACCCGCGGUGCAUUAGCUAGUUGGUGAGGUAACAGCUCACCAAGGCCGUGAUGCAUAGCCGACCUGAGAGGGUGAUCGGCCACAUUGGGACUGAGACACGGCCCAA
Molecule: ribosomal RNA, 219 nt
Filed under: uncultured bacterium
Lineage: Bacteria
Description: partial 16S ribosomal RNA
Rfam family: Bacterial small subunit ribosomal RNA
Source: RNAcentral